CCAUGGGACUCGAAAAGCCUGUAAAUGUAUUACUAACGACUUUGCUUUGAAUCCAAAUUUCUUUCGACUUUGCAUGUAAAGCCCUUUUGGCAUGGACUUGUUACGACUGGAGAUAACCCCUUCAAACAAUCAAAACAAGGUCAUGUUAGGAACAGAAGGAGAACCUCGUCCUAACAUGAGCAAAAUGAAAGUCCGAUUAUUUUAAGAUCGGAUCGGGGGAGAGGCCCAUAUAACGGCCCUUAAGUGCCUCCAUGGUCAUGUUAGGAACAGGAGGAGAACAUCGUCUUAACAUGAGCACAAUGAAAGUCCGAUUAUUUUAAGAU
Molecule: long non-coding RNA, 323 nt
Filed under: Elaeis guineensis (African oil palm)
Lineage: Eukaryota; Viridiplantae; Streptophyta; Magnoliopsida; Arecales; Arecaceae
Description: long non-coding RNA (EGUI_LNC035895)
Source: RNAcentral